RNAcentral lists this transfer RNA (72 nucleotides) under Deltaproteobacteria bacterium. RNAcentral's name for it is "tRNA-Phe". It matches the Rfam family "tRNA". From Rfam's summary of the family: Transfer RNA (tRNA) molecules are approximately 80 nucleotides in length. The record is from RNAcentral. Lineage: Bacteria; Pseudomonadati; Myxococcota; Myxococcia.
GUCGUGGUGGCUGAGUGGUUAGGCGCGUCCCUAGAAAUGGCGUUCACGCCGGUUCGAUUCCGGCCCACGACU